RNAcentral lists this long non-coding RNA (233 nucleotides) under Mytilus galloprovincialis (Mediterranean mussel). The record is from RNAcentral. Lineage: Eukaryota; Metazoa; Mollusca; Bivalvia; Mytilida; Mytilidae.
GGGGCUGUGUUAGGAAAAUUGGCCUAAGUACCAAGGCCGUAACUAGGCAUCUUAUUUUAGUGAGGCAAAUAAUUGAGCCGAGCGAAGCGAUGCAAUUUUUUUUUUUUUUUUGGAGGGUAUGAAAUGAAUGGUGCAAAAUCCUGCAUUCUAGGCAUUUUUAGAGAGUUUGAUAAUGUUUUGAACUUGGACACUUUUUAUAUAAAUUUUUUAUAUUUUAAUACUUUUACUAACAC